AACGAACGCUGGCGGCGUGCCUAAUACAUGCAAGUCGAACGAGAAAGUGGCUUCGGCCAUGAGUAAAGUGGCAAACGGGUGAGUAAUACGUAGGUAACCAUCCCCUAAGAUCGGGACAACCUUCCGAAAGGAGGGCUAAUACCGGAUAAGACCACGGCUACCUCGGUAGCUGAGGUAAAACAAAGUCUCUACUUGUAAGCUUUUGCUUGGGGACGGGCUUAUGCACCAUUAGCUAGUUGGUAGGGCAAUGGCCUACCAAGGCUUUGAUGGUUAGCUGAUCUGAGAAGUUGAUCAGCCACACGGGAACUGAGACACGGUCCAGACUCCUACGGGAGGCAGCAGUAGGGAAUAUUGCGCAAUGGAGGAAACUCUGACGCAGCGACGCCGCGUGGGUGACGAAGGCCUUCGGGUCGUAAAGCCCUGUCGGAAGGGAAGAAAAACACUGGCUAACAUCUCAGUGCUUGACGGUACCUUUAAAGGAAGCACCGGCUAACUACGUGCCAGCCGCCGCUGUAA
This 516-nucleotide ribosomal RNA is filed under the name uncultured bacterium. RNAcentral's name for it is "partial 16S ribosomal RNA". It matches the Rfam family "Bacterial small subunit ribosomal RNA", at positions 29 to 523 of the family's 1533-position model. The record is from RNAcentral.